AACGAACGCUGGCGGCAGGCCUAACACAUGCAAGUCGAACGCCCCGCCAGGGGAGUGGCAGACGGGUGAGUAACACGUGGGAACCUUCCCUAUAGUACGUAAUAGCCCAGGGAAACUUGGAGUAAUACCGUAUACGCCCUAAAGGGGAAAGAAUUACGCUAUAGGAGGGGCCCGCGUAGGAUUAGCUAGUUGGUGAGGUAAUGGCUCACCAAGGCGACGAUCCUUAGCUGGUUAGAGAGAACGACCAGCCACACUGGGACUGAGACACGGCCCCGACUCCUACGGGAGGGAGCAGUGGGGAAUCUAGGAAUAUGGGCGGAGGCCUGAUCGAGCCCGGCCGGGUAAGUGAUGAUGGUCGUAGGGAAGUAAAGCUCUUUUGGCGGGGACGAUAAUGACGGUACCCGAAGAAUAAGUCCCGGCUAACUACGUG
This 430-nucleotide ribosomal RNA is filed under the name uncultured bacterium. RNAcentral describes it as "partial 16S ribosomal RNA". It matches the Rfam family "Bacterial small subunit ribosomal RNA", at positions 29 to 507 of the family's 1533-position model. The record is from RNAcentral.